This is a long non-coding RNA of Chenopodium quinoa (quinoa), 787 nucleotides long. RefSeq lists it as uncharacterized. The transcript is spliced from 4 exons. Lineage: Eukaryota; Viridiplantae; Streptophyta; Magnoliopsida; Caryophyllales; Amaranthaceae. The record is from RefSeq and is a predicted model, not a curated record.
AAUAAUAAAAGAGAGAGGCCAUUUAUUCAAGAGAAAUGGUCUCUCUUUUUUUUAUAAUUAUUUUUAAAAAAUAAAACCUUUGAUAAGAUCUAAUAAAAAAUGGAGUAAAAAUAUAUAAACCGGUGAAAACCCUAACUCCAUCCUUAUGCUCAUCAGCCGCCACCCUUCUCUCUCCAGUUUCAUUUCGAUCUGAUUUUCCUCCUCAAUUAUUUCUAGAUCUCUCCAAGUUUCAUUCAUCAUGCCGUCCGUUUACGCCGAUCGUAUGAUUACAUUCGAGGAUUCUGAGAAGGAGAGCGAGUACGGUUACAUUUGUAAGAUCUCUCCAAGUUUCAUUCAUCAUGCCGUCCGUUUACGCCGAUCGUAUGAUUACAUUCGAGGAUUUUGAGAAGGAGAGCGAGUACGGUUACAUUUGUAAGAUCUCUCCAAGUUUCAUUCAUCAUGCCGUCCGUUUACGCCGAUCGUAUGAUUACAUUCGAGGAUUCUGAGAAGGAGAGCGAGUACGGUUACAUUUGUAAGGAUAAAAAGUGUAAUCAAAGAAGAUUGAUGAUUUUGCUUGUUGAAUGGUUCGAUUGGCAAGAUGUUGCACAAGAUCUGUCAAGAACACCAUUGUUUUUAGUAUUUUUUUUUUACAAUAGUAUGGGUUUUGUACGUAGUAUAAUAUUUUGCAAGUAUAUUGAUGAUUAUUAUCCAAAUAAUAUGGGUCUUGUACCGUUGUACGUAGUAUAACUUUUAGUAUGAGUUAUGUAUAAAUUUUAACAAGUACGAACUACUUGUAUUUCGUUGUAAA